GACAGAGGGUGCAAACGUUGUUCGGAAUUACUGGGCGUAAAGCGCGUGUAGGCGGCAAGCCAAGUCGGGUGUGAAAGCCCUGGGCUCAACCCAGGAAGUGCAUUCGAUACUGGCAAGCUAGAGUCCCGGAGAGGAUGGCGGAACUCUCGGUGUAGAGGUGAAAUUCGUAGAUAUUCGGAAGAACACCAGUGGCGAAGGCGACUUACUGGACACAUAUUGACGCUGAGGUGCGAAAGCGUGGGGAGCAAACAGG
RNAcentral lists this ribosomal RNA (253 nucleotides) under uncultured bacterium. RNAcentral's name for it is "partial 16S ribosomal RNA". It matches the Rfam family "Bacterial small subunit ribosomal RNA", at positions 524 to 776 of the family's 1533-position model. The record is from RNAcentral.